Long non-coding RNA from Musa acuminata AAA Group (dessert banana), 1091 nucleotides. RefSeq lists it as uncharacterized. The transcript is spliced from 5 exons. Lineage: Eukaryota; Viridiplantae; Streptophyta; Magnoliopsida; Zingiberales; Musaceae. The record is from RefSeq and is a predicted model, not a curated record.
GUGCGCAGCCCGCCAGAGUCCCUCUCAGCCCGGGGAAAGAGAACGGGGGAUGUAAGGCACGACGACGGGCGAAGUCUGCCAGGUUGUGCGUGCGCGGACGCGUACGGAGCCCGACCUGCCGCUCUAGCGCUGCUCUUCAAGCAACGUGUCUUUUUCGUGCUUCUCAAAGGGGAAGAAGAAGAAGAGGCAGGGAAGCGAAGCCGAUCGAAGGUGGAGGAAGGACUUCUUCGCCCCUCUGCUGAUCGCUUAAUCCGUCUCUAGAAGCCUCUUUAUGGUGGUGGAGGUGGAACGGGGGUGGCGGUUGUCUUCUACUCGGAGGACCCUCCCUGGCGUCGCCGGAUCCCUAGGCGUCCUCGCCUGCUCUUCGCCCGAUGACCGCGGAAAGAAGGCCCGCAAACCCUACACCAUCACCGAGUCGAGGGAGAACUGGUCGGAGGAGGAGCACGACAAGUUCCUCGAAGCUCUCCAACUAUAAGGAGCCAUGCACAAAAGUACUUUCUGAAGGUUCAGAAGAAUGGUAGAAAUGAACAUGUACCACCACCUCGACCCAAGCAGAAAGCAGCUUAUCCAUAUCCUCAGAAAGCUGCUAAAAAUGAUAUGUCAAAACAAAAAUCUACUUGUGAGUUCUGCCCAUUUUGAACCAACAUCAUCGAUGCAUAGAGAUCCUGCAACAAUGCCUUUUUUUUCAUUGGGUUCAGAGUUCUAUCGAGCCUGUUACUUCAUCUCAUUCGACAAAAGGUCUGAUAGUUUUAUUUUAAUAUUUGUUUUGGUGAUUUGAUCAAAUAUAUUAGAGAGGUCUGGUAAGUUUGCAGAUGAUAUAGUAAAUUCCGGAGCUUUGACCGUAAGCUCCUGUUGCUGAAGUACUGCUGACAGUCCCAGAACUUGGCCUUCUUAUGAAACAGUGGAUCGAGGGAAUCUGGUCACUUCUCUUCAUGUUAUGCCAGAUUUUGCUCAGGUGUACAACUUUCUUGGCAGUGUGUUUGACCCUAAUACAAGUGGCCAUCUGCAAAAAUUGAAAGCAACAGAUCCAAUCGAUGUUGAAACAGUAAGCUACUAGCAAUUUGAUCUUCUGCUUAUAGUUUUCACAUUCC